UACGUAGGGGGGCAAGCGUUGUCCGGAAUCAUUGGGCGUAAAGAGCGUGUAGGCGGCUCGGUAAGUCCGCUGUAAAAGUCCAGGGCUCAACCCUGGAAAGCCGGUGGAAACUGUCGAGCUAGAGUCCGGAAGAGGCGAGUGGAAUUCCUGGUGUAGCGGUGAAAUGCGCAGAUAUCAGGAGGAACACCAAUGGCGAAGGCAGCUCGCUGGGACGGUACUGACGCUGAGACGCGAAAGCGUGGGGAGCAAACAGG
Molecule: ribosomal RNA, 254 nt
Filed under: uncultured bacterium
Lineage: Bacteria
Description: partial 16S ribosomal RNA
Rfam family: Bacterial small subunit ribosomal RNA
Source: RNAcentral